UACGUAGGGUGCGAGCGUUGUCCGGAAUUAUUGGGCGUAAAGAGCUUGUAGGCGGUCUGUCGCGUCUGCUGUGAAAAUCCGGGGCUUAACCCCGGACCUGCAGUGGGUACGGGCAGACUAGAGUGUGGUAGGGGAGACUGGAAUUCCUGGCGUAGCGGUGAAAUGCGCAGAUAUCAGGAGGAACACCGAUGGCGAAGGCAGGUCUCUGGGCCACUACUGACGCUGAGAAGCGAAAGCAUGGGGAGCGAACAGG
RNAcentral lists this ribosomal RNA (253 nucleotides) under uncultured bacterium. RNAcentral describes it as "partial 16S ribosomal RNA". It matches the Rfam family "Bacterial small subunit ribosomal RNA", at positions 524 to 776 of the family's 1533-position model. The record is from RNAcentral.